AUGUCACACAGAUGAUAAAGAGCAAGGAUAGACCUCUUCAUUUCAUGUUUGAGGCAAUUCUCUAAGACAGCUGAUUUCUCCAGAGCUGGUAGUUUAUUCCCCACUGUAGGAGACAGACUUGCUCACGUGAUAGAUCCGGCCAUGAUAUUGUCCCUAAGAGAACGAGAUGCUCUUUGCAGAAGACAUAGAAGAUUCCUGAAACUGGGAAAGGGGCCUAGAAACCUGGAGAAGAGUGAAGAAGGCAUUUUCCCUCCCCUGCUUAGGCAUCUGCCACCAUAUUCAAUACUUUCUCCAGGGUUCUCAGGUUUCCCAUUGGCUUGGAAUUUGUCAAUUAGUUUUGCUGGCUGGACAGAAAGCCACACGGAUCCUCUU
RNAcentral lists this long non-coding RNA (372 nucleotides) under Rattus norvegicus (Norway rat). Its description in RNAcentral is "partial Pvt1". Lineage: Eukaryota; Metazoa; Chordata; Mammalia; Rodentia; Muridae. The record is from RNAcentral.